This 492-nucleotide ribosomal RNA is filed under the name uncultured bacterium. Its description in RNAcentral is "partial 16S ribosomal RNA". It matches the Rfam family "Bacterial small subunit ribosomal RNA", at positions 29 to 507 of the family's 1533-position model. The record is from RNAcentral.
AGUGAACGCUGGCGGUAGGCCUAACACAUGCAAGUCGAACGGCAGCACAGUAAGAGCUUGCUCUUACGGGUGGCGAGUGGCGGACGGGUGAGGAAUACAUCGGAAUCUACUUUUUCGUGGGGGAUAACGUAGGGAAACUUACGCUAAUACCGCAUACGACCUACGGGUGAAAGCAGGGGAUCUUCGGACCUUGCGCGAUUGAAUGAGCCGAUGUCGGAUUAGCUAGUUGGCGGGGUAAAGGCCCACCAAGGCGACGAUCCGUAGCUGGUCUGAGAGGAUGAUAAGCGACACUGGAAGUGGGACAGGGACCAGAGUCCUACGGGAGGCAGCAGUGGGGAAUAUUGGACAAUGGGCGCAAGCCUGAUCCAGCCAUACCGCGUGGGUGAAGAAGGCCUUCGGGUUGUAAAGACCUUUUGUUGGGAAAGAAAAGCAGCAGGUUAAUACCCCGCUGUUCUGACGGUACCCAAAGAAUAAGCACCGGCUAACUUCGUG